GAGUGGUUGGCUGUUGCUGCCUUUGCAAUCACGGGUUCUCAGACUUUCUUCAAACUUCUACAAGUUGUUAGAUUAUUCUACCGUUGAAUCCUUUUUAUGGCAAGGUAUUUUUGUGUUUCAUGUUGUCUUGAUUUGUUUCUUACACAUGUGUGGAGGUUAUUCAGAAGGAAAUCAAGAUUUUGAGCAGAAAAUUAUAUGAUUCUUUUAGUUGUUUGGAAUCUUUAAAUAACAUUCGCAAAGUAAUUUCAGAUGGAGAACGUGAAUUUUGGGUUUUAAUUCAAAUUUGGAGUGCUAAUUAAG
RNAcentral lists this long non-coding RNA (300 nucleotides) under Glycine max (soybean). RNAcentral's name for it is "long non-coding RNA (GMAX_LNC004634)". The record is from RNAcentral. Lineage: Eukaryota; Viridiplantae; Streptophyta; Magnoliopsida; Fabales; Fabaceae.